GAGCACGCGCGUGUGGCAUAUCAAUAAGCGGAGGAAAAGAAACUAACAAGGAUUCCCUUAGUAACGGCGAUGUUGAAGCGGGAAGAGCUCAAAUUUGAAAUCUUCAAGGUUCUACCUUGACGAAUUGUAGUUUAUAGAAGUGUUUUCUGUUAGUGGAGUGGCAAAAGUUCUUUGGAAUAGGACAUCAUAGAGGGUGAGAAUCCCGUAUUUGGUCAUUCCUCCUAGCGUUGUGAUACACUUUCAACGAGUCGGAUUGUUUGGGAAUGCAGUCCAAAAUGGGUGGUAAAUUUCAUCUAAAGCUAAAUAUUGGCGAGAGACCGAUAGCGAACAAGUACCGUGAGGGAAAGAUGAAAAGAACUUUGAAAAGAGAGUUAAACAGUACGUGAAAUUGUCAAAAGGGAAACGUUUGACACCAGUGUUGUUUUUCCGAAAAUCAAUUACGAAUGUUUUAUUUUUGAGGAGUUAUGACUUCAUCGGCUUGCUCCUUUCUUUAUGAAACUUUCUUAAUGCACUUUUCGGUUAACAAGUCAACAUCAAUUUCUUUUGUUGUAAAAGGGUAUGAGGAAGGUGGCUUUCUUUUCGGAGAAAGUGUUUAUAGCCUUGUGCCUCUGCAAUCGGAGAGAUUGAGGUCUGCAGCGUAGAUCCUUCGGGGUUAGAUACGUUUGUGCUAAGUUAUAGCUUUUCAUAGACAACUUGUUGACUAUGUUUAGUCUUGUAGCUUACUCGCUUACUGCUAUUUUACCUACGCUUAGGAUGUUGAACUCUAUCACACACAG
This 776-nucleotide ribosomal RNA is filed under the name uncultured Neocallimastigales. Its description in RNAcentral is "partial large subunit ribosomal RNA". It matches the Rfam family "Eukaryotic large subunit ribosomal RNA", at positions 19 to 621 of the family's 3401-position model. The record is from RNAcentral. Lineage: Eukaryota; Fungi; Neocallimastigomycota; Neocallimastigomycetes; Neocallimastigales.